RNAcentral lists this ribosomal RNA (238 nucleotides) under uncultured bacterium. RNAcentral describes it as "partial 16S ribosomal RNA". It matches the Rfam family "Bacterial small subunit ribosomal RNA", at positions 96 to 334 of the family's 1533-position model. The record is from RNAcentral.
CGGCGGACGGGUGAGUAACGCGUGGGUAACCUACCCUGUACACACGGAUAACAUACCGAAAGGUAUGCUAAUACGGGAUAAUAUAUUUGGGAGGCAUCUCUUGAAUAUCAAAGGUGAGCCAGUACAGGAUGGACCCGCGUCUGAUUAGCUAGUUGGUAAGGUAACGGCUUACCAAGGCGACGAUCAGUAGCCGACCUGAGAGGGUGAUCGGCCACAUUGGAACUGAGACACGGUCCAA